ACGAACGUUGGCGGCGUGGAUUAGGCAUGCAAGUCGAACGAAUCUCCGUGGGGGUAACUCUGCGGGGGGAAGUGGCGAAAGGGGCAGUAAGGCGUGGGUAACCUACCCUGGGGAUGGGCAUAGCCGUUCUAACGGACGGGUAAUUCCCAGCGAUCUGGCCGAGGGGCAUCUCCUGGCCAGGAAAUGAAUUUCGCCUCGGGAGGGGCUCACGUGGUAUUAGCUAGUUGGUAAGGUAACGGCUUACCAAGGCGAAGAUGCCUAGCGGGUGUGAGAGCACGACCCGCGCCACUGGCACUGAGACACUGGCCAGACUCCUACGGGAGGCUGCAGUCGAGGAUCUUCGGCAAUGGGCGCAAGCCUGACCGAGCGACGCCGCGUGUGCGAUGAAGGCCUUCGGGUUGUAAAGCACUGUCGAGGGGGAGGAAGCCGAAAGGUUGACCUAUCCCUGGAGGAAGGACGGGCUAAGUUCGU
Molecule: ribosomal RNA, 471 nt
Filed under: uncultured bacterium
Lineage: Bacteria
Description: bacterial SSU rRNA
Rfam family: Bacterial small subunit ribosomal RNA
Source: RNAcentral